GUGAAUCAUCGAAUCUUUGAACGCAUAUUGCGCUCUUUGGUAUUCCGAAGAGCAUGCUUGUUUGAGUAUCAGUAAACACCUCAAAACUCUUGAUCUUUUUCAAGCGUUUUGGACUUGAGCAAACCCAACGCCUUUUCUUUUAAGAUCUGUUGCGGCGGGUUGCUUGAAAUGCAGGUGCAGCUGGACAAUCUCCUGAGCUAAAAGCAUAUUUAUUUAGUCCCGUCAAACGGAUUAUUACUUUUUGCUGCAGCUAACAUAAAGGGAGUUUUGACCAUUAUGGCUGACUGAUGCAGGAUUUCACAGAGAAAGGGCCGGCAACGGUUUUGUCUCUGUCAAACUCGAUCUCAAAUCAAGUAAGACUACCCGCUGAACUUAAGCAUAUCAAUAAGCGGAGGA
This 396-nucleotide ribosomal RNA is filed under the name uncultured fungus. RNAcentral describes it as "eukaryotic LSU rRNA". The stretch from base 1 to 71 matches the Rfam family "5.8S ribosomal RNA", at positions 84 to 154 of the family's 154-position model. The record is from RNAcentral. Lineage: Eukaryota; Fungi.